This 497-nucleotide ribosomal RNA is filed under the name uncultured bacterium. RNAcentral's name for it is "partial 16S ribosomal RNA". It matches the Rfam family "Bacterial small subunit ribosomal RNA", at positions 28 to 507 of the family's 1533-position model. The record is from RNAcentral.
GAUGAACGCUGGCGGCGUGCCUAAUACAUGCAAGUCGAGCGAACGGACGAGAAGCUUGCUUCUCUGAUGUUAGCGGCGGACGGGUGAGUAACACGUGGAUAACCUACCUAUAAGACUGGGAUAACUUCGGGAAACCGGAGCUAAUACCGGAUAAUAUUUUGAACCGCAUGGUUCAAAAGUGAAAGACGGUCUUGCUGUCACUUAUAGAUGGAUCCGCGCUGCAUUAGCUAGUUGGUAAGGUAACGGCUUACCAAGGCAACGAUGCAUAGCCGACCUGAGAGGGGGAUCGGCCAAACUGGAACUGAGACACGGUCCAGACUCCUACGGGAGGCAGCAGUAGGGAAUCUUCCGCAAUGGGCGAAAGCCUGACGGAGCAACGCCGCGUGAGUGAUGAAGGUCUUCGGAUCGUAAAACUCUGUUAUUAGGGAAGAACAUAUGUGUAAGUAACUGUGCACAUCUUGACGGUACCUAAUCAGAAAGCCACGGCUAACUACGUG